UGACAGUAUUAUGGCACAACCAGAGGACUAAUUUGUGAAGAAAUAAUGCGAGGAAAUGAAGAUAUGAAUCACGAGUGGUAACGAUGAGAAGAAUCCACUUGAGGGAACUUGUUUGGAGAAUUUUGGGAUAAUUUUCUGCUGGGUUGAUAGAUAAGGGGAAGAAAGAGGAUACAGGGUUACAUUACAGAUAAAAUGAAGAAACAUUGAGAUCAAUUAGAAAAUAAGGAAGUCUGCAAAGGCCCCACUGAAUGCUGUGUAAUACAAUCAACUGAGAGCAGCACUGACAGAACAUUAGAAGAUAUAUGGAUUUGACCGAGUCAAGAAAUAACUUUCCCUCUGUAAAUACUUGAGGAUAGCUUUUCAAAUCCUUCCUUUCCAAGAUAUGUGAUUGAAUAAAGAAGAUUAUAUCUCAAAGGACAAUACAAUGAAAGAAAUGUGACUGAUGGCCUAAGAAUAUAAGGAAGAGUUGGGGUAACAUGAUAAAUCUUUUCAUUUAAUCUUGUACCUAAUAUGGGACGCUGGCAGUGGCAGAGAGCCAGACCGACCUUCUAAAACCAAGACUACAGACCACACACAUAGCCUUGAAGAUCCGUGAACUUCUUUAUAAAGGUGCUUUAUGUCUG
This 623-nucleotide long non-coding RNA is filed under the name Homo sapiens (human). RNAcentral describes it as "HSALNT0106885". The record is from RNAcentral. Lineage: Eukaryota; Metazoa; Chordata; Mammalia; Primates; Hominidae.